GAAGAUGACAUUUUAUGUUCUUAAGGAUAUAAGUAUAUAUUUAAUUAAUUUUGAUGUUCAAUAACUAUCUUUCUAAACUAAGUAAUGUCAAGGUUUGUUGCUCAUUACAUGUUUGAUUGAUUUAUAUAAUUGAGGAUGUACUCAUUUGAAAUAUUUAGCUUACAUUAUUUAAUAGAAAUCUCUGGUUCAUAUUCACUUUAUGAUUGUAUAAACAAAAUACAAAAGGGUAAAAAGAUACGUAUUGCUGAAAAAUUGUCAUAUUUUCUUUUUUUUCUAUCUUUUAUGAGUAAUUUUCAUUCUUAUUUAUCAAAUUUAUAGAUCAAGUGAUUUCUGAUAUAGGUUGAUCUUUUGAAGGAUACACAUCUCUACCUUUUUUAUGUUGUCACCCUAUUCAUUUGUGUUUCCUCUUAUUUUCAAUAUUAUUCUUGCGUCACCAAUGAUUAUGAUAGGGUUUUUUGUAUUGUUUUGAUGAGAUUGAGAUGUUUGUUAGGAUUAUGAGGAUCUCACAAUAAUACAGGUGGUGCUAAUAUAACACUCGAAAAAUGAUUGAGUUGGUUUCCUUUAAAACAUACAGUCUCAUUUUCAUUUUCUUGUAAUUAUUCUAUUCUCCUUUUUUCUUUUUCAUUUUCUUGUAAUUAUUCUUUUUUCUUUUUUCUUUUUCAUUUUCUACUUAUAAUUACUAUUUUAGCAUAUUUUUUAAUCUGUGUAACUUAUGUUAAUGGUUUAAUUAUCAGAAUAUAGAAGAUGACAUUUUAUGUUCUUAAGGAUAUAAGUAUAUAUUUAAUUAAUUUUGAUGUUCAAUACAUAUCUUUCUAAACUAAUUAAUGUCAAGGUUUGUUACUCAUUACAUGUUUGAUUGAUUUAUAGAAUUGAGGAUGUACUUAAUACAAAUAUUUAGCUUACAUUACUUAAUAGAAAUCUCUGGUUCAUAAUCAGUUUAUGAUUGUAUAAACAAAAUACAAAGGGUAAAAAAAUACGUACUGCUGAAAAAUUGUCAUAUUUUCCUUUUUUUUCUAUCUUUUAUGAGUAAUUUUCUUUCUUAUCUAUCAAAUGUACAGAUCAAGUGAUUUCUGAUAUAGGUUGAUCUUUUGAAGGUUACACAUCUCUAACUUGUUUAUUUUGUCACUCUAUUCAUCUGUGUUUCCUCUUAUUUUCAAUUUUAUUCUUGCAUCACCAAUGAUUAUGAUAGGGUUUUUCGUAUUGUUUUGAUGAGAUUGAGAUGUUUGUUAGGAUUAUGAGGAUCUCACAAUAAUAAAGUUGGUGCUAAUGUAACACUAGAAAAAUGAUUGGGUUGGUUUCCUUUAAUACAUACGGUCUCAUUUUCAUUGUCUUGUAAUUAUUCUAUUUUCUUUUUUUCUUUUUCAUUUUCUUGUAAUUAUUCUUUUUUCUUUUUUUCUUUUUCAUUUUCUACUUAUAAUUAGUAUUUUAGCAUAUUUUUUAAUCUAUAUAACUUAUGUUAAUUGUUUAAUUAUCAGAAUAUAGAAGAUGACAUUUUAUGUUCUUUAGGAUAUAAGUAUAUAUUUAAUUAAUUUUGAUGUUCAAUACAUAUCUUUCUAAACUAAUUAAUGUCAAGGUUUGUUACUCAUUACAUGUUUGAUUGAUUUAUAUAAUUGAGGAUGUACUUAAUAUAAAUAUUUAGCUUACAUUAUUUAAUAGAAAUCUCUGGUUCAUAAUCACUUUAUGAUUGUAUAAACAAAAUACAAAGGGUAAAAAAAUACGUACUGCUGAAAAAUUGUCAUAUUUUCCUUUUUUUUCUAUCUUUUAUGAGUAAUUUUCUUUCUUAUCUAUCAAAUGUACAGAUCAAGUGAUUUCUGAUAUAGGUUGAUCUUUUGAAGGUUACACAUCUCUAACUUGUUUAUUUUGUCACUCUAUUCAUCUGUGUUUCCUCUUAUUUUCAAUUUUAUUCUUGCAUCACCAAUGAUUAUGAUAGGGUUUUUCGUAUUGUUUUGAUGAGAUUGAGAUGUUUGUUAGGAUUAUGAGGAUCUCACAAUAAUAAAGUUGGUGCUAAUGUAACACUAGAAAAAUGAUUGGGUUGGUUUCCUUUAAUACAUACGGUCUCAUUUUCAUUGUCUUGUAAUUAUUCUAUUUUCUUUUUUUCUUUUUCAUUUUCUUGUAAUUAUUCUUUUUUCUUUUUUUCUUUUUCAUUUUCUACUUAUAAUUAGUAUUUUAGCAUAUUUUUUAAUCUAUAUAACUUAUGUUAAUUGUUUAAUUAUCAGAAUAUAGAAGAUGACAUUUUAUGUUCUUUAGGAUAUAAGUAUAUAUUUAAUUAAUUUUGAUGUUCAAUACAUAUCUUUCUAAACUAAUUAAUGUCAAGGUUUGUUACUCAUUACAUGUUUGAUUGAUUUAUAUAAUUGAGGAUGUACUUAAUAUAAAUAUUUAGCUUACAUUAUUUAAUAGAAAUCUCUGGUUCAUAAUCACUUUAUGAUUGUAUAAACAAAAUACAAAGGGUAAAAAAAUACGUACUGCUGAAAAAUUGUCAUAUUUUCCUUUUUUUUCUAUCUUUUAUGAGUAAUUUUCUUUCUUAUCUAUCAAAUGUACAGAUCAAGUGAUUUCUGAUAUAGGUUGAUCUUUUGAAGGUUACACAUCUCUAACUUGUUUAUUUUGUCACUCUAUUCAUCUGUGUUUCCUCUUAUUUUCAAUUUUAUUCUUGCAUCACCAAUGAUUAUGAUAGGGUUUUUCGUAUUGUUUUGAUGAGAUUGAGAUGUUUGUUAGGAUUAUGAGGAUCUCACAAUAAUAAAGUUGGUGCUAAUGUAACACUAGAAAAAUGAUUGGGUUGGUUUCCUUUAAUACAUACGGUCUCAUUUUCAUUGUCUUGUAAUUAUUCUAUUUUCUUUUUUUCUUUUUCAUUUUCUUGUAAUUAUUCUUUUUUCUUUUUUUCUUUUUCAUUUUCUACUUAUAAUUAGUAUUUUAGCAUAUUUUUUAAUCUAUAUAACUUAUGUUAAUUGUUUAAUUAUCAGAAUAUAGAAGAUGACAUUUUAUGUUCUUUAGGAUAUAAGUAUAUAUUUAAUUAAUUUUGAUGUUCAAUACAUAUCUUUCUAAACUAAUUAAUGUCAAGGUUUGUUACUCAUUACAUGUUUGAUUGAUUUAUAUAAUUGAGGAUGUACUUAAUAUAAAUAUUUAGCUUACAUUAUUUAAUAGAAAUCUCUGGUUCAUAAUCACUUUAUGAUUGUAUAAACAAAAUACAAAGGGUAAAAAAAUACGUACUGCUGAAAAAUUGUCAUAUUUUCCUUUUUUUUCUAUCUUUUAUGAGUAAUUUUGUUUCUUAUCUAUCAAAUGUUAGGAUUAUGAGGAUCUCACAAUAAUAAACGUGGUGCUAGUGUAACACUGGAAAACAUAUUGAGUUGCUUUCCUUUAUACCAUACUGUCUCAUUUUAAAUUUGUUGUUAUUAUUCUAUUUUCUUUUUUUCUUUUUCAUUUUCUAGUAAUUAUUCUAUCUUAUUUUUUUAUUUUUCAUUUUCUACUUAUAAUUAGUAUUUUAGCAUAUUUUUUAAUUUGUAUAACUUAUGUUAAUUGUUUAAUUAUCAGAAUAUAGAAGAUGACAUUUUAUGUUCUUAAGGAUAUAAGUAUAUAUUUAAUUAAUUUUGAUAUUCAAUACAUAUCUUUCUAAACUAGUUAAUAUCAAGGUUUGUUACUCAUUACAUGUUUGAUUGAUUUAUAUAAUUGAGGAUGUACUUAUUAGAAAUAUUUAGCUUACAUUAUUUAAUAGAAAUCUCUGGUUCAUAUUCACUUUAUGAUUGUAUAAACAAACUUAUUAGAAAUAUUUAGCUUACAUUAUUUAAUAGAAAUCUCUGGUUCAUAUUCACUUUAUGAUUGUAUAAACAAAAUACAAAGGGUAGAAAAAUACGUACUGCUGAAAAAUUGUCAUAUUUUUUUUUCUAUCUUUUAUGAGUAAUUUUCCUUCUUUUCUAUCAAAUGUACAGAUCAAGUGAUUUCUGAUAUAGGUUGAUCUUUUGAAGGUUACACAUCUCUACCUUUUUUUUUUGUCACCCUAUUCAUCUGUGUUUCCUCUAAUUUUCAAUUUUAUUCUUGCAACACCAAUGAUUAUGAUAGGGUUUUUCGUAUUGUUUUUAUGAGAUUGAGAUGUUUGUUAGGAUUAUGAGGAUCUCACAAUAAUACAGGUGGUGCUAAUGUAACAUUGGAAAAAUGAUUGAGUUGGUUUCCUUUGAUACAUACAGUCUCAUUUUCAUUUUCUUGUAAUUAUUCUAUUUUCCUUUUUUCUUUUUCAUUUUCUUGUAAUUAUUCUUUUUUCUUUUUCAUUUUCUACUUAUAAUUAGUAUUUUAGCAUAUUUUUUAAUCUGUAUAACUUAUGUUAAAUGUUUAAUUAUCAGAAUAUAGAAGAUGACAUUUUAUGUUCUUAAGGAUAUAAGUAUAUAUUUAAUUAAUUUUGAUGUUCAAUACAUAUCUUUCUAAACUAUUUAAUGUCAAUGUUUGUUACUCAUUACAUGUUUGAUUGAUUUAUAUAAUUGAGGAUGUACUUAAUAGAAAUAUUUAGCUUACAUUAUUUAAUAGAAAUCUCUGGUUCAUAAUCACUUUAUGAUUGUAUAAACAAAAUACAAAGGGUAAAAAAAUACGUACUGCUGAAAAAUUGUCAUAUUUUCUUUUUUUUCUAUCUUUUAUGAGUAAUUUUCAUUCUUAUCUAUCAAAUGUACAGAUCAAGUGAUUUCUGAUAUAGGUUGAUCUUUUGAAGGUUACACAUCUCUACCUUUUUUAUUUUGUCACCCUAUUCAUUUGUGUUUCCUCUUAUUUUCAAUUUUAUUCUUGCGUCACCAAUGAUUAUGAUAGGGUUUUUCGUAUUGUUUUGAUGAGAUUGAGAUGUUUGUUAGGAUUAUGAGGAUCUCACAAUAAUACAGGUGGUGCUAAUGUAACACUGGAAAAAUGAUUGAGUUGGUUUCCUUUAAUACAUACAGUCUCAUUUUCAUUUUCUUGUAAUUAUUCUAUUUUCCUUUUUUCUUUUUCAUUUUCUUGUAAUUAUUCUUAUUUCUUUUUUCUUUUUCAUUUUCUACUUAUAAUUAGUAUUUUAGACUAUUUUUUUAUCUGUGUAACUUAUGUUAAUUGUUUAAUUAAUAGAAUAUAGAAGAUGACAUUUAUUGUUCUUAAGGAUAUAAGUAUAUAUUUAAUUAAUUUUGAUGUUUAAUACAUAUCUUUCUAAACUAUUUAAUGUCAAUGUUUGUUACUCAUUACAUGUUUGAUUGAUUUAUAUAAUUGAGGAUGUACUUAUAACAAAUACUUAGCUGAAAUUACUUAAUAGAAAUCUCUGGUUCAUAAUAAGUUUAAGAUUGUAUAAACAAAAUACAAAGGGUAAAAAAAUACGUACAUCUGAAAAAUUGUCAUAUUUUCCUUUUUAUUCUAUCAUUUAUGAGUAAUUUUCUUUCUUAUCUAUCAAAUGUACGGAUCAAGUGAUUUCUAAUAUAGGUUAAUCUUUUGAAGGUUAUACAUCUCUCAAUCGUUUAUUUUGUCACUCUAUUCAUUUGUGUUUCCUGUUAUUUCCAAUUUUAUUCUUGCAUCACCAAUGAUUAUGAUAGGGUUUUUCGUAUUGUUUUGAUGAGAUUGAGAUUUUUGUUAGGAUAUACUCCUAGAGUGUUAUUAUUUGCACCACGAUCACAUUGUGACCUUUACUGAUUGAGUUGGUUUCCUUUAUACCAUACAGUCUCAUUAUAAGCUUGUUGUUAUUAUUCUUUUUUCUUUUUUUCUUUUUCAUUUUCUAGUAAUUAAUUUAUCUUAUUUUUUUCUUUUUCAUUUUCUACUUAUAAUUAGUAUUUUAGCAUAUUUUUUAAUUUGUAUAAGUUAUGUUAAUUGUUUAAUUAUCAGAAUAUAGAAGAUGACAUUUUACGGUCCUAAGGAUAUAAGUAUAUAUUUAAUUAAUUUUGAUGUUCAAAACAUAUCUUUCUAAACUAAUUAAUGUCAAGGUUUAUUACUCAUUACAUGUUUGAUUGAUUUAUAUAAUCGAGGAUGUACUUAUUAGCAAUAUUUAGCUUACAUUAUUUAAUAGAAAUUUCUGGUUCAUAUUCACUUUAUGAUUGUAUAAACAAAAUACAAAGGGUAAAAAAAUACGUACUGCUGAAAAAUUGUCAUAUUUUCUUUUUUUUUCUAUCUUUUAUGAGUAAUUUUCCUUCUUAUCUAUCAAAUGUAUAGAUCAAGUGAUUUCUGAUAUAGGUUGAUCUUUUGAAGGUCACACAUCUCUACCUUUUUUAUUUUGACACCCUAUUCAUCUGUGUUUCCUCUUAUUUGCAAUUUUAUUCUUGCAACACCAAUGAUUAUGACAGGGUUUUUCGUAUUGUUUUUAUGAGAUUGAGAUGUUAGUUAGGAUUAUGAGGAUCUCACAAUAAUACAGGUGGUGCUAAUGUAACACUGGAAAAACGAUUGAGUUGGUUUCCUUUAAUACAUACAGUCUCAUUUUCAUUUUCUUGUAAUUAUUCUAUUUUCCUUUUUUCUUUUUCUUUUUCUUGUAAUUAUUCUUUUUUCUUUUUUUCUUUUUCAUUUUCUAAUUAUAAUUAUUAUUUUAGCAUAUUUUUUAAUUUGUGUAACUUAUCUUAAUUGUUUAAUUAUCAGAAUAUAGAAGAUGACAUUUUAUGUUCUUAAGGAUAUAAGUAUAUAUUUAAUUAAUUUUGAUGUUCAAUACAUAUCUCUCUAAACUAUUUAAUGUCAAUGUUUUUUACUCAUUACAUGUUUGAUUGAUUUAUAUGAAUGGGGAUGUACUUAAUGAAAAUAUUUUGCUUACAUUAUUUAAUAGAAAUCUUUGGUUCAUAUUCACUUUAUGAUUGUAUAAACAAAAUACCAAGGGUAAAAAAAUACGUACUGCUGAAAAAUUGUCAAAUUAUCUUUUUUUUCUAUCUUUUAUGAGUAUUUUUCAUUCUUAUCUAUCAAAUGUACAGAUCAUGUGAUUUCUGAUAUAGGUUGUUCUUUUGAAGGUUACACAUCUCUACCUUUUUUAUUUUGUCACCCUAUUCAUCUGUGUUUCCUCUUAUUUUCAAUUUUAUUCUUGCGUCACCAAUGAUUAUGAUAGGGUUUUUCGUAUUGUUUUGAUGAGAUUGAGAUGUUUGUUAGGAUUAUGAGGAUCUCACAAUAAUACAGGUGGUGCUAAUGUAACACUGGAANCAAUUAACAUAAGUUACACAGAUUAAAAAUAUGCUAAAAUACUAAUUAUAAGUGGAAAAUGAAAAAGAAAAGAAAAAAGAAAUAAUUACAAGAAAUGAAAAAGAAAAAAGGAAAAUAGAAUAAUUACAAGAAAAUGAAAAUGGAGACUGUAUGUAUUAAAGGAAACCAACUCAAUCAUUUUUCCAGUGUACAUUAGCACCACCUGUAUUAUUUGUGAGAUCCUCAUAAUCCUAACAAAACAUCUCAAUCUCAUCAAAACAAUACGAAAAACCCUUCAUAAUCAUUGGUGUGCAAGAAUAAAAUUGAAAAUAAGAGGAAACACAGAAAUGAAUAGGGUGACAAAAUUAAAAAAGGUAGAGAUGUGUGAACCUUCAAAAGAUCAACCUAUAUCAGAAAUCACUUGAUCUGUAAAUUGAUAGAUAAGAAGAAAAUUACUCAUAAAAUAGAAAAAAAAGAAAAUAUGACAAUUUUUCAGCAGUACGGAUUUUUUUACCCUUUGUAUUUUGUUAUACAAUCAUAAAUGAAUAUGAACAGAGAUUUCUAUUAAAUAAUGUAAGCUAAAUAUUUCUAAUAAGUACAUCCUCAAUUAUAUAAAUCAAUCAAACGUAAUGAGUAACAAACCUUGACAUUAAGUGUUAGAAGAUAUGUAUGAACAUCAAAAUUAAUUAAAUAUAUACUUAUUACCGUAAGAACAUAAAAUGUCAUCUUCUAUAUUUGAUAAUUAAACAAUUAACAUAAUUAUACAGAUAAAAAUAUGCUAAAAUACUAAUUAUAAUGAGAAAAUGAAAAAGAAAAAAUAAAAUAAAGUAAUUACAAGACCAAAAGAAAAGAAAAAAAAGAAAAAGAAUAAUACAACAAAUUAAAUGAGACGUAUGGUAUAAAGGAAACCAACUCAAUCAAGUUUUCCAGUGUUACACUAGCACCACGUUAUUAUUUUGAGGAUCCUCAUAAUCCUAACAAAAUCUCAAUCUCAUCAAAACAAUACGAAAAAAAACCUAUCAUAAUCAUUGGUGAUGCAAGAAUAAAAUUGAAAAUAAACAGGAAACACAAAUGAAUAGAGUGACAAAAUAAAACAAAGUAGAGAUGUAAACCUUCAAAGAUGAAACUAUAUAGAAAUCACUUUAAUCCGUUACAUUUGAUAGAUAAGAAAAAUACUCAUAAAAGAUAGAAAAAAAAGGAAAAUAUGACAAUUUUUCAGCAGUACAUAUUUUUUUACCCUUUGUAUUUGUUUAUACAAUCUAAACUGAUUGAUGAACCAGAGAUUUCUAUUAAGUUGUAAGCUAAAUAUUUGUAUUAAGUACAUCCUCAAUUAUAUAAUCAUUCAAACAGUAAUGAGUAACAAAACAUUGACAUUAAAUAGUUUAGAAAGAUAUGUAUUGAACAUCAAAUUAAUAUAAUAUAUUACUUAUAUCCUUAAGAACAUAAAAUGUCAUCUUCUAUAUUCGAUAAUUAAACAAUUAACAUAAGUUACACGAAUUAAAAAAUAUGCUAAAAUACUAAUUAAAGUAGAAAUGAAAAAGAAGAAGAAAAAGAAUAAUUACAAGAAAAUGAAAAAAAGAAAAAAGGAAAAUAGAAUAAUUACAAGAAAAUGAAAAUGAGACUGUAUGUAUUAAAGGAAACCAACUCAAUCAUUUUUCAGUGUUACAUUAGCACCACCUGUAUUAUUGUGAGAUCCUCAUAAUCCUAAACAACAUCUCAAUCUCAUCAAAAACAAUACGAAAAACCCUAUCAUAAUCAUUGGUGACGCAAGAAUAAAAUUGAAAUAAGAGGAAACACAAAUGAAUAGGGUGACAAAUAAAAAAGGUAGAGAUGUGUAACCUUCAAAAGAUCAACCAUAUCAGAAAUCACUUGAUCUGUACAUUUGAUAGAUAAGAAUGAAAAUUACUCAUAAAAAUAGAAAAAAAGAAAAUAUGACAAUUUUUCAGCAGUAACGUAUUUUUUUACCCUUUGUAUUUUGUUUAUACAAUCAUAAAUGAAUAUGAACCAGAAUUCAUUAAAUAAUGUAAGCUAAAUAUUUUCUAAUAAGUACAUCCUCAUUAUAUAAAUCAAUCAAACUGUAAUGAGUAACAAACCUUGACAUUUAAUGUUUAGAAAGAUAUGUAUUGAACACAAAUAAUUAAAUUAUACUUAUAACCUUAAGAACAUAAAAUGUCAUCUUCUAUAUUUGAUAAUUAAACAAUUAACAUAAGUUAUACAGAAUUAAAAAUAUGCUAAAUACUAAUUAUAAUAGAAAUGAAAAAAAAGAAAAAAAUAAGAAUAAUUACAAGAAAAUGAAAAGAAAAAAAGAAAUAGAAUAAUAACAACAAAUUUAAAUGAGACCGUUAUGGUAUAAAGGAAACCACUCAAUAGUUUCCAGUGUUACACUAGCACCACGUUAUUAUUUUGAGACCUCAUAAUCCUAACAAAAAAUCUCAUCUCAUCAAAACAAUACGAAAAACCCUAUCAUAAUCAUGGUGGAUGCAAGAAUAAAAAUGAAAUAACAGGAAACACAAAUAAUAGAGUGACAAAAUAAACAAGUUAGAGAUGUAUAACCUUCAAAGAUAACCUAUAUCAGAAAUCACUUGAUCUGUACAUUGAUAGAUAAGAAAGAAAAUUACUCAUAAAAGAUAGAAAAAAAGAAAAAAUAUGACAAAUUUUCAGCAUACGUAUUUUUUUACCCUUUGUAUGUUUGUUUAUACAAUCAUAAAUUGAUAUGAACAGAGAUUUCUAUUAAGAAUGUAAGCAAAUAUUGUUUAUAAGUACAUCCUCAAUUAUAUAAAUCAAUCAACAUGUAAUGAGUAACAAACAUUGACAAUAAAUAGUUUAGAAAGAUAUGUAUUGAACAUCAAAAUUAAUUAAAUAUAUACUUAUAUCCUUAGAACAUAAAAUGUCAUCUUCUAUAUUUUGAUAAUUAAACAAUUAACAUAAGUUCAUACAGAUUAAAAAAUAUGCUAAAUACUAAUUAUAAUAGAAAAUGAAAAAAAAAAGAAAAAGAAUAAUUAAAAAAAUGAAAAAGAAAAAAGAAAAUAGAAUAAAACAAAAAUGAAAUGAGACCGUAUGUAUUAAAGGAAACCACUCAAUAUUUUCCAGUGUUACAUAGCACCCACGUUUAUUAUUGUGAGAUCCUCAUAAUCCUAACAAAAAUCUCAAUCUCAUCAAAACAAUACGAAAAACCCUAUCAUAAUCAUUGGUGAGCAAGAAUAAAUAAAAUAAAGGAAACACAAAUGAAUAGGUGACAAAAUAAAACAAGUUUAGAGAUGUUAACCUUCAAAGUAACCUAUAUCAGAAAUCACUAUUCCGUACAUUGAGUAGAUAAGAAAAAAUUACUCAUAAAAGAUAGAAAAAAAAGAAAAUAUGACAAUUUUCAGCAAGUACAUAUUUUUUUACCCUUUGUAUUUUGUUUAUACAAUCAAUAAUGAUUAUGAACCAAGAUUUCUAUUUAAUAAUGAAGCUAAAUAUUUUAUUAAGUACAUCCUCAUUAUAUAAAUCAAUCAAACAUGUAAUGAGUAACAAACAUUGACAUUAAAUAGUUUAGAAAGAUAUGUAUUGAACAUCAAAAUUAAUUAAAUAUAUACUUAUAUCCUUAGAACAUAAAAUGUCAUCUUUCUAUAUUCUGAUAAUAAACAAUUAACAUAAGUUACACAGAUUAAAAAUAUGCUAAAAUACUAAUUAUAAGUUAGAAAUGAAAAAGAAAAGAAAAAGAAUAAUUACAAGAAAAUGAAAAAGAAAAAAGAAAAUAGAAUAAUUACAAGAAAAUGAAAAUGAGACUGUAUGUAUUAAAGGAACCAACUCAAUCAUUUUUCCAUGUACAUUACCACCUGUAUUAUUGUGAGAUCCUCAUAAUCUACAAAAACAUCUCAAUCUCAUCAAAACAUACGAAAAAACCCGUAUCAUAAUCAUUGGUGAGCAAGAAUAAAAUUGAAAAAUAAGAGGAAACACAGAUGAAUAGGGUGCACAAAAUAAAAAAGUAGAGAUGUUGUAACCUUCAAAAGAUCAAACCUAUAUCAGAAAUCACUUUAUCGUACAUUUGAUAGAUUAAGAAGAAAAUUACUCAUAUAAAAAUAGAAAAAAAGAAAAUAUGACAAUUUUUCAGCAGUACUGUAUUUUUUUACCCUUUGUAUUUUGUUUAUACAAUCAUAAAGUGAAUAUGAACCAGAGAUUUCUAUUAAAGUAAUGUAAGCUAAAUAUUUCUAAUAAGUACAUCCUCAAUUAUAUAAACAAUCAAACGUGUAAUGAGUAAAAAACCUUGACAUUAAUUAGUUUAGAAAGAUAUGUAUUGAACAUCAAAAAUUAAUUAAUAUAUACUUAUCCUUAAGAACUAAAAUGUCAUCUUCUAUAUUCUGAUAAUUAACAAUUAACAUAGUUAUAGCAAUAAAAAAAUAUGCUAAAUACUAAUUAUAAUAGAAAAUGAAAAAGAAAAAUAAAAUACAUAAUACAAGAAAAUGAAAAAGAAAAAAAAAAAAUGAAUAAUAACAACAAAUUGUAAAAUGAGACCGUAUGGUAUAAAGGAAACCAACUCAAUAGUUUUCCAGUGUUACACUUAGCACCACGUUUAUUAUUGUGAGAUCCUCAUAAUCCUAACAAAAAUCUCAAUCUCAUCAAAACAAUACGAAAACCCUAUCAUAAUCAUUGGUGAUGCAGAAUAAAUUGAAAAUAACAGGAAACACAAAUGAAUAGAGUGACAAAAUAAACAGUUGUGAGAUGGUAUAACCUUCAAAAAGAUACCUAUAUCAGAAAUCACUUAAUCCGUUCAUUUGAUAGAUAAGAAAAAAUUACUCAUAAAAGAUAGAAAAAAAGGAAAAUAUUGACAUUUUCAGCAUACGUAUUUUUUUACCCUUGUAUUUUUUUAUACAAUCAUAAACUUAUUAUGAACCAGAGAUUUCUAUUAAGUAUGUAGCUAAAUAUUGUAUUAAGUACAUCCUCAAUUAUUAUAAAUCAAUCAAACAUGUAAUGAGUAACAAACAUGACAUUUAAUAGUUUAGAAAGAUAUGUAUUGAACAUCAAAAUUAAUUAAAUAUAUACUUAUAUCCUUAAGAACAUAAAAUGUCAUCUUCUAUAUCUGAUAAUAAACAAUUACAUAAGUUACACAGAUAAAAAAUAUGCUAAAAUACUAAUUAUAAGUAGAAAAUGAAAAAAAAAGAAAAAAGAAUAAUACAAGAAAUGAAAAAGAAAAAGGAAAAAUAGAAUAAUUACAAGAAAAUGAAAAUGAGACUGUAUGUAUUAAAGGAAACCAACUCAAUCAUUUUUCCAGUGUUACAUUAGCACCACCUGUAUUAUUGUGAGAUCUCAUAAUCCUAACAAACAUCUCAAUCUCAUCAAAACAAUACGAAAAACCCUAUCAUAAUCAUUGGUGACGCAAGAAUAAAAUUGAAAAUAAGAGGAAACACAAUGAAUAGGGUGACAAAAUAAAAAAGGUAGAGAUGUGUAACCUUCAAAGAUCAACCUAUAUCAGAAAUCACUUGAUCUGUACAUUUGAUAGAUAAGAAUGAAAAUUACUCAUAAAAAUAGAAAAAAAGAAAAUAUGACAAUUUUCAGCAGUACGUAUUUUUUUACCCUUUGUAUUUGUUUAUAAAUCAUAAAGUGAAUAUGAACCAGAGGAUUCUAUUAAUAAUGUAAGCUAAAUAUUUCUAAUAAGUACAUCUCAUUAUAUAAAUCAAUCAAACUGUUAAUGAGUAAAAACCUUGACAUUAAUUAGUUUAGAAGAGUAUGUAUUGAACAUCAAAAUUAAUUAAAUAUAUACUUAUACCUUAGAACAUAAAAUGUCAUCUUCUAUAUUGCUGAUAAUUAAACAUUAACAUAAGUUAUACAGAUUAAAAAAAUAUGCUAAAAUAACUAAUUAUACUAGAAAAUGAAAAAAAAAAAAAAAUAGAAUAAUUCAACAAAAUGAAAAGAAAAAAGAAAAAUAGAAAUAAUCAACAAAUUAAAUGAGACCGUAUGGUAUAAAGCGGAAAAAACCAGCUUCAAUAAGUUUUCCAGUGUUACACUAGCACCACGUUUAUUUUAUGUUCUUAAGGAUAUAAGUAUAUAUUUAAUUAAUUUUGAUGUUUAAUACAUAUCUUUCUAAACUAUUUAAUGUCAAUGUUUGUUACUCAUUACAUGUUUGAUUGAUUUAUAUAAUUGAGGAUGUACUUAUAACAAAUAUUUAGCUGAAAUUACUUAAUAGAAAUCUCUGGUUCAUAAUAAGUUUAAGAUUGUAUAAACAAAAUACAAAGGGUAAAAAAAUACGUACAUCUGAAAAAUUGUCAUAUUUUCCUUUUUAUCUUAUCUUUUAUGAGUAAUUUUAUUUCUUAUCUAUCAAAUGUACGGAUCAAGUGAUUUCUAAUAUAGGUUAAUCUUUUGAAGGUUAUACAUCUCUCAAUCGUUUAUUUUGUCACUCUAUUCAUUUGUGUUUCCUGUUAUUUUCAAUUUUAUUCUUGCAUCACCAAUGAUUAUGAUAGGGUUUUUCGUAUUGUUUUGAUGAGAUUGAGAUUUUUGUUAGGUCUAUGAGGAUCUCACAAUAAUAAACGUGGUGCUAGUGUAACACUGAUUUUCAAUUUUAUUCUUGCAUCACCAAUGAUUAUGAUAGGGUUUUUCGUAUUGUUUUGAUGAGAUUGAGAUUUUUGUUAGGUCUAUGAGGAUCUCACAAUAAUAAACGUGGUGCUAGUGUAACACUGAAAAACUGAUUGAGUUGGUUUCCUUUAUACCAUACAGUCUCAUUAUAAGGGUGUUGUUAUUAUUCUAUUUUCCUUUUUUCUUUUUCAUUUUCUUGUAAUUAAUUUAUCUUAUUUUUUUCUUUUUCAUUUUCUACUUAUAAUUAGUAUUUUAGCAUAUUUUUUAAUUUGUAUAAGUUAUGUUAAUUGUUUAAUUAUCAGAAUAUAGAAGAUGACAUUUUACGGUCCUAAGGAUAUAGGUAUAUAUUUAAUUAAUUUUGAUGUUCAAUACAUAUCUUUCUAAACUAAUUAAUGUCAAGGUUUGUUACUCAUUACAUGUUUGAUUGAUUUAUAUAAUUGAGGAUGUACUUAUUAGCAAUAUUUAGCUUACAUUAUUUAAUAGAAAUCUCUGGUUCAUAUUCACUUUAUGAUUGUAUAAACAAAAUACAAAGGGUAAAAAAAUACGUACUGCUGAAAAAUUGUCAUAUUUUCUUUUUUUUUCUAUCUUUUAUGAGUAAUUUUCCUUCUUAUCUAUCAAAUGUACAGAUCAAGUGAUUUCUGAUAUAGGUUGAUCUUUUGAAGGUCACACAUCUCUACCUUUUUUAUUUUGUCACCCUAUUCAUCUGUGUUUCCUCUUAUUUUCAAUUUUAUUCUUGCAACACCAAUGAUUAUGACAGGGUUUUUCGUAUUGUUUUUAUGAGAUUGAGAUGUUUGUUAGGAUUAUGAGGAUCUCACAAUAAUACAGGUGGUGCUAAUGUAACAUUGGAAAAAUGAUUGAGUUGGUUUCCUUUAAUACAUACAGUCUCAUUUUCAUUUUCUUGUACGUAUUCUAUUUUCCUUUUUUCUUUUUCUUUUUCUUGUAAUUAUUCUUUUUUCUUUUUUCUUUUUCAUUUUCUAAUUAUAAUUAUUAUUUUAGCAUAUUUUUUAAUCUGUGUAACUUAUGUUAAUUGUUUAAUUAUCAGAAUAUAGAAGACGACAUUUUAUGUUCUUAAGGAUAUAAGUAUAUAUUUAAUUAAUUUUGAUGUUCAAUACAUAUCUUUCUAAACUAUUUAAUGUCAAUGUUUUUUACUCAUUACAUGUUUGAUUGAUUUAUAUAAAUGGGGAUGUACUUAAUGAAAAUAUUUAGCUUACAUUAUUUAAUAGAAAUCUUUGGUUCAUAUUCACUUUAUGAUUGUAUAAACAAAAUACCAAGGGUAAAAAAAUACGUAAUGCUGAAAAAUUGUCAUAUUAUCUUUUUUUUUCUAUCUUUUAUGAGUAUUUUUCAUUCUUAUCUAUCAAAUGUACAGAUCAUGUGAUUUCUGAUAUAGGUUGUUCUUUUGAAGGUUACACAUCUCUACCUCUUUUAUUUUGUCACCUUAUUCAUCUGUGUUUCCUCCUAUUUUCAAUUUUAUUCUUGCGUCACCAAUGAUUAUGAUAGGGUUUUUCGUAUUGUUUUGAUGAGAUUGAGAUGUUUGUUAGGAUUAUGAGGAUCUCACAAUAAUACAGGUGGUGCUAAUGUAACACAUUUUCGUAUUGUUUUGAUGAGAUUGAGAUGUUUGUUAGGAUUAUGAGGAUCUCACAAUAAUACAGGUGGUGCUAAUGUAACACUGGAAAAAUGAUUGAGUUGGUUUCCUUUAAUACAUACAGUCUCAUUUUUAUUUUCUUGUAAUUAUUCUAUUUUCCUUUUUUCUUUUUCAUUUUCUUGGAAUUAUUCUUUUUUCUUUUUUCUUUUUCAUUUACUACUUAUAAUUAGUAUUUUAGCAUAUUUUUUAAUCUGUGAAACUGAUGUUAAUUGUUUAAUUAUCAGAAUAUAGAAGAUGACAUUUUAUGUUCUAAAGGAUAUAAGUAUAUAUUUAAUUAAUUUUGAUGUUCAAUACAUAUCUUUUUAAACUAAUUAAUGUAAAGGUUUGUUACUCAUUACAUGUUUGAUUGAUUUAUAGAAUUGAGGAUGUACUUAAUACAAAUAUUUAGCUUAUAUUACUUAAUAGAAAUCUCUGGUUCGUAAUCAGUUUAUGAUUGUAUAAACAAAAUACAAAGGGUAAAAAAAUACGUACUGCUGAAAAAUAGUCAUAUUUUCCUUUUUUUUCUAUCUUUUAUGAGUAAUUUUCUUUCUUAUCUAUCAAAUGUACGGAUCAAGUGAUUUCUGAUAUAGGUUAAUCUUUUGAAGGUUACACAUCUCUAACUUAUUUUUUUUUUGUCACUCUAUUCAUCUGUGUUUCCUCUUAUUUUCAAUUUUAUUCUUGCAUCACCAAUGAUUAUGAUAGGGUUUUUCGUAUUGUUUUGAUGAGAUUGAGAUAUUUGUUAGGAUUAUGAGGAUCUCACAAUAAUAAUGUUGGUGCCAAUGUAACACUAGAAAAAUGAUUGGAUUGGUUUCCUUUAAUACAUACGGUCUCAUUUUCAUGGUCUUCUAAUUAUUCUAUUUUAUUUUUUUCUUCUUCAUUUUCUUGUAAUUAUUCUUUUUUUCUUUUUUUCUUUUUCUUUUUCUACUUAUAAUUAGUAUUUUAGCAUAUUUUUUAAUCAAUAUAACUUAUGUUAAUCGUUUAAUUAUCAAAAUAUAAAAGAUGACAUUUUAUGUGCUUUAGGAUAUAAGUAUAUAUUUAAUUAAUGUUGAUGUUCAAUACAUAUCUUUCUAAACUAGUUAAUGUCAAGGUUUGUUACUCAAUAAAUGUUUGAUUGAUUUAUAUAAUUGAGGAUUUACUUAAUAUAAUUAUUUCGGUUACAAUAUUUAAUAGAAAUCUCUGGUUCAUAAUUUUAUAGCUCACUUAUGAGCACCUAUAAAAAUCAUCUAUGUUGGAUAUCUCUUAUUUUCUUACUUUUUAUUUCUUGUAUCAUUUCAUGGAAUUAGUGAUAGAGCAGGUUUUUUCACUCAUUGUCCAUUGAUGUAGGACAUUUUAAGGACUGUUUGUUAGGAUUAUGAGGACUGCAUUCAACUUUAAUAAGAUUAUGGGUGCUACAUUGCUAUUCUCACGAAUACAUUAAUGGAUUGGGUUCUAAAGUUUUACCUAAUUAAUAUCAAUACAAUUAAACGGUUCUGCAUUUAAUAAUUAAUCGCGUACUUUUUGUAAUUAUUUCCACGUAUUUCAUUUCUUUUUUUCUGUUAUUCAUUUUUUAUAUGUAUAAUAUAUUCUUUUUUUCAAUUUUUCUUUUCAUUCUUUCAUACACAUUUAUAACUCUAAGUAUUUUUACGAUUGCUAUAUUUUUUAAGCUAUAUAACUUAGGGUUGAAUAGUUUCCAUAUUCAAGAAAUAAAUAGACAGAUAGAUUCAUUUCCAAAGAUAGCAUUUAAGGAUAUAAAGUAUUAAAUAUUGUAAUUAAUGUUAUGAUUUUUCUUAAUAUUAUAUACUUCUAACACUAAUCUUGUAUUAAGGUUUGUUACUCAAUAAAUGUUUGAUUGAUAAAUAAAUUGAUGAUAUCUAUCUGUAAUUAUACAAAUUAGGUUUGCUUACAUAUAAUAUAUUAAUAGAUAACUACUGGUUCAUAAUCCACUUUAUGAUUGUGAUAGAACAAGGGAACAUUUAUCUAUAGGGUAGAAAAAUACGUAGCUGCUCCAUUGAACCUAUAUUGUACAUAUUUUCCCUCUUUCUUUCUAGUCUUUUAUUAUGAGUAAUUUUUUUUCCUUAUCUCCAUCAAACGUACGGAACCUAAUGAGGAUUUUCUUGUUAUAUAGGGUUUAAUUACUUUUGCUAGGUUACACAUCUCUGAACUUUGUUCAUAAUAUUUAUGUCACUCAUAGGUUCAUCUAUGUUUCCUCUUUAUUUUACCAAUUUUAUUCUUGCCAUCACCAAUCAGAAUUUUAAAUAGGAAUCAGGUUGUUUUCAGAUAUUGUUGUGAUGAAGAUUGAGAUAGAAUUCUGUUAGGUAAAAUUAUGAGGAUCAAAUCACAAAUAAUAAAAUAAAGUUGGUGCCAAGUUUGUGACACAACCUAAAGAAUUUAAAUUUGAUUGGAUUGGUUUCCUUUAAAUUAUCAUAGAAGAUGAAUUUUUAUGCUUCUAUGUAGGAUAUAUAGUAUACCACACUAUUUAGAUUAAUCUUUGAUGUUCCAUCACUUUACACCUCACUCCAUUACUAAAUUAAUUAAUUUCAAAAGGUUUGUUUAACUCACUAAGUCUUCAUUGUACUUUGUAUUUGAUAAUAUUGAGGAUUAACUCUAUAUAUUAUGACCAUCUAUUUACGCCAUUAUCAAAUAUUUAAUAGAAUAUCCCCCUCCGCGCUCCUCAUAAAUCCUUCUUAUGAUUGAAUGAUAUUAACCAAAUACAAAUGGUAAAAAAAUACCGUACUGAACUGAAUAAAUUGUCCAUAUUUUCCUUUUUUUUUCUAUCUUGGUUAAUGAGUAAUGUUUGUUUUAUUCUUAUCUAUCAAAUGUACGCGAAUUCACUUUGAUUUCUGCUAUACGCUUCUAUCACCUUUUGAACGGUUAUAACAUUCUCUAAACUUGUUAUUUUGUCACUCUAUUCAUCUAUGUUUCUCUUAUUUUCAAUUUUAUUCUUGCAAUCACCAGGAUUUAUGAGUACGGUUUUGUUAACACAUAUUGGGAAAUAUUGAUGAGAUUAAGCCUGAUGUUGUUGGCAUUUGGAGGACUCACAAUAAUAAGUUGGUGCUAAUGUAACACUCAGAUCAAAUGGAUUGGGAUUAGUUUCCCUUUAAUUACAUCACGCAGUAUCAAAUUUAUAACAUGUCUUGUAAUUCCCUAAAUUCCAUAUACUUGAAGAUCGAGACUGUUUGCAUUUCCAUUUAUUUCUUUUCUAUCUUUCUAUUGUAAUAAUGCCAUUUUCUUUUUUUACUAAUUUUUCAUUCUUUUCUCUGGGAGCCUAGAGCCUCUGUAGUUAGAAUGGUAGCUAUUAAUUAAAGACCUAACCCUCUAUAUUUUUUUAUCAAACGUCUAUAUAACUAUUUUAACUUCGGCCUCACCGAUUUAAUUCAAUUAACAACCAUUCAUUUUUCAUUCACUACAGACCACUUAUGUAGAAGAUGCCAUAAUGGGUCUACUGAGGGGCGUCGCUCGUAAUAGUUCGCAACAUCAUAUAUCAUCUUUUUCAUAAAGGUGGAUUGUGAAUUCUUGAGUCUCACCAUUGGAUAGAAUUCUAUUGUAUGAUAAAUUAAUUGUUUGGGUCUUGAGGUAGAAUUCCAAUCGGUUACAUUCUUUCUAAGAGUAAAGCAUUCACUGUAAAUAGAAAUUUUAAUCGAGAAUUUUCUAUUAAGGUGAUUUUUGUUGGUGGGUUAUAUAGUUACUUCUUGAAUUUCAAGUAAAUAGAUUUUGUAUUGUGUAUAUGAAUAUUUUUCUUUUAGGAUUCGAAUAAUUGAUGAUUUAUUCGGCUUGCUUGAGAAUAUAUUGAUGAAAUAUUAGUGAUUCAUAAGCAUGGUUGAUAUUUUGCUGUGUCAGGAUAUUUGUAAUACGUUAGGUAACAGUCUCUGGUUCAUAAUCACUAUUCGGGAUUGAUUCAGUUAUAAUGGGUAUGAAUGGCCAAGGUUAAAUACAAGGGUACAGGGUAGAAUUUUAUAAUGAGCUGCUUGAUGAUUUUCUGGUGAUGAGCUGAUGAAGAUAUGAUAACUGACAGUCUGUGAUUUCAUUUCCCCAAGAAACGCUGUUAGAUCCGUUUGCCCUGGCUUUGAAUGUUCAAAUUCGUUGUUCCGCGGGAACCAUUAUGUCAUUGAUCACAAUUCAGCAUUCGGCCUGCUUUCUGCUCUUCAGACUGAUCUUUAUAGUAAUUUUUUUUCCUUAUCUCACUCACUUUUCAAAGUUAGUAUCGCAGGGUCGUUUUACACUUUUUUAAGCUGGGUGUGGCAUAUAUAUAACCAAGGCUUUUGCUCAAUUUGUUCAGAAUUUUACAAUUCAUUUUCAUUCUUUUUCGUUUGUUCAGAGCAUAGUUUUAUAUUUCUCGUGUUUCUUCAAAAAAAUCAUUCAAAUAAUUCAUGGAUGAUUCCAAUUGGGUGUGCGUUGUAAUUGUUAAGCAUUUACAUCUCCAGGUUUUUUAUCUAGCAUCUACGUUGUUUAUAGGUUUCUCGAUACUAUAAGUAUGUUAGCAGGAGUUUUUAUUUUGGGUUCUAUGUUAUGUAAUCUUUUGAUUCAUUGUGCUAUGAGCCCUUUUGCCUAGUUUUUGCCAUUUAAUCUUCAUUUAGAAUCUUUGAUGCCUGCUUCAAAAUGCUUGGAAAUUUUUAUAUGCAUCAUCGAUCUAGACUCUUUCCUGGUGAUUUUGGUAUGUGUGUUCUGUGGUUGCUGUUAUUUUUUGAGUUCCAUUGGUUGAGCAUUGUCAUGAACAUAGUAUCUUUUUUGGAUGUGUUUUACAUUUUGGCAUUGCCUUCCUGUGCAUCUUCCUAUUUUGCUAUUUAGGGGCAAUGUGCUUAUUGAACUUCGAAUUAUCGCAGCUAAGAUUUGUAUUGGAUUAUGUAGGAAUACUGAAUUAAAGAAUGUUGAGAAGGACAUGUCGAAAUUUUGUUGGAUUAUUUUUGUAAAGGCAUUUUCCUCAUUUGAUUGGCAUUGUAUUGUUAGUUUUGGGUCUCUGCUGUGAUGAGAACCAAUUGUUUGACUGAGUUGGAUUGCAGGGUCUAUUUGUGUUUUUAGAGUGGUUAUGGGUGUAAUUUACUCGGGUUUAAUUAAUUGGAGGUUGAGUUGAAAAGUAUUUGACCAUGUUUCAUAGUACAGGACAUAAUUGAAUGUGGACAUAUCUUAUGACAUUUGUCCCUUGGUCAUUGUCCUAUUAAUGUCAAAAUGGAUAUUGCUCUUCUGUUUUGAUUGAUGAAAUGAAUGCAAUGUUUGAUAGAAUAUGCCAUGUAUUAAUACUGAUUUCAAUCUGUCUGGAGCUUCUUGGGAAAAUUUUCAUUGGACGGGCUUCCCUUGGUUCCAAAAUGAGUCUUCUACAAUUUCGUUAUGUAUUAUAGAUAUGAUUCAUUAGGACAAUACUGUUUGUACAGAUCAUUGAAUUUUUUAAGGAAUUUAUUUAGAAUGUAUGUUUUGGGUUAUCUUUUAGGAUAUAAGUUGAUUUGAAUUUUAUGUGUAUCCUCACUAAUUUUAAUUUUGAUGUUCAACUGUUUGGUCCUUUGAGGUUCUAGAUACAUUGGCAUGGUUUGUUGCUUUUCCUUCCUUUUGAAAUGAUAAUUCUAGAUGAAUAGAAUAGUAAUGUUGGAAAAUUAAUUUCCACUUUGGAAGUUGGGAUUUUUUUUAAGUUGUUUUUGGAUUACCUUCUAGCGAUUUGGGGAUAAUUUUUCAACAUUUCGCUAGUUUGAAAUAUUUUGUCAACGCUCUUUUUGAUCCGCUUUGAUGUGCUUACUCUAGUGGUCUUGUUACUCAUUAUGUCAUAUUGAGAGGAUUACGUUAAUUUUAGGCUUUUAUCAGGAUUUGGAAAAGCAAAAUUGACUUUAAGUUAGCUUACAAUAUUUUAAUAGAAACGGCUGGUGGUCAUAGAUUCAUGCAAUGUUGAUCAUUGAGCUUGUUUUCGACUUUGUUUAUUGAGUUGAUACUACUAUUGUUUGUUUUUGUUAGGAAUGACUACACUACACUUUGGCUAUUGGAGCCUUUAUGCUUGCAACAUAGAUGAUGGGGUUGUUAUUAUGGGUAUAUCUUAAAUGUACGUACUGUUUGUGAUUUGCCUUUGUAUGAGACUCUCACCUGUAAUUUUUGAGCUUUGAGUUAUCAGGGGUAGGCAAAAAUUAUGUGUCAUAUGUGCUAUUUCGUCUUUCUUUUUGAUGAACUUUUUGGAUGCUAAUCUUUUGAUUGUCUUUAUGAUAAGGCAUGGCAGAUGAUCAGUGGCAUCUUUCUUCUCUUUUGCUAGAUUCGUAUCCGCUUAUUGUUACCUGGUCGCAAGAAUGUACGGGACACUUGAUAUGAAAGGUCUUCCUUUAAGGAUAGCAUUUGUUCGUUGAGCUUAUGUUUAUAUAGGGUUAUAUUUCCGCCAGCAAGAAUAGUUGAAGGUUACACAUCUUUAACUUUGUUUAUUUUGUCACUCUAUUCAUCUUGUUUCCUCUUAUUUUCAAUUUUAUUCUUGGCAUCACAAUGAUAUGAUAGGGUUUUUCGUAUUGUUUUGCUGAAGAUUGAGAUGUUUGUUAGGAUUAUGAGGAUCUCACAAUAAUAAAGGUGGUGCUAAUGUAACACUAGAAAAAUGAUUGGGUUGUUUCCUUUAAUACAUACGGUCUCAUUUCAUUGUCUUGUAAUUAUUCUAUUUUCUUUUUUUCUUUUCAUUUUUCUUGUAAUAUUCUUUUUUCUUUUUUCUUUUUCAUUUUCUACUUAUAAAAUUAGUAUUUUAGCAUAUUUUUUUAAGUCUAUAUAACUUAUGUUAAUCGUUUAAUUAUCAGAAUAUCAGAAGAUGACAUUUUAUGUCUUAGGAUAUAAGUAUAUAUUUAAUUAAUUUGAUGUUCAAUACAUCAUCUUUCUAAACUUAAUUAAUGUAAGGUUGUUACUGCAUUAAAUGUUUGAUUGAUUUAUAUAAUUGAUGAGUAUUAAUUAAUAUAAAUUUUUAGCUUACAAUAUUUAAUAGAAAUCUCUGGUUCAUAAUCACUUUAUGAUUGUAUAAACAAAUACAAAGGGUAAAAAAAAUACGUACUGCUGAAAAAUUGUCAUAUUUCCCUUUUUUCUUCUUCUUUAUGAGUAAAUUUUUCUUUUCUUAUCUAUAUCAAAUGUACGGAAAAUUGAUUUCUGAUAUAGGUUAAUCUUUUUGAAGGUUACACACAUCUCUAACUUGUUUGUAUUCUUGUCACUCUAUUCAUUCUGUCGUUUCCUCUCUUAUUUUCAAUUUUAUUCUUUGCAUCACCAAUGAUUAUGAUAGGUUUUUUCGUAUUGUUUUGAUGAGAUUGAGGAUGUUUGUUGUAGUGCAUUAUGAGGAUCUCACAAUAAUAAAGUUGGUGCAAAUGUAACACUAGAAAAAUAUUGGAUUGGUUUCCUUUAAUACAUACGCUCAGAUGUCUUCUUAUUCUUUAGUAUCUGCUUAUCAUUCUUUAAUUAUUUUUUUCAAUUUGUUACAUACUUUCCAUAUUUAUUAAUAAUCUAAUGUUAGAUUAAUUUUCAAGGUUUUGUAUACAUAUCGCUACCAUUAAUUGUUUGAUAUGAUUUUAUAUAAUUAGGUUUACUAUAAUAUAAAUAUUUAGCUUUCAAUAUUUAAUAGAACUCUGGGUUCAUAAUCUUACUGAUUGUAUUUAUGAAAACAAUACUAACAUUAAGGUAAAAAACAUACGUACACUCUGAAAAAUUGUCUUCUUUUUUUUCCACUUGUUUUCAUUCUUUCUAUGGUUUAUUUGUCCUAAUCAUAAAUGUACGGAGACUAAUUGAUUUCUGAUAUACGGUUAAUCUUUUGAAGGUUACACAUCUCUAACUUGUCUUAUUUUGUCACUCUAUAUCAUCUUGUUUUCUCUUAUUUCAAUUUAUUCUUGCAUCACCAAUGAUUAUGAUAAGGGUUUUAUUGCAAUAUGUUUUGAGUAGAUUUGAGGUAUUUGAUUAGAUGUGUAAGAUUGAUGGGUCUCACAAUAAUAAGUUGGUGCUACAAUCGUAAACUAGAAAAUAUUGGUUAGUUUUCCUUUAAUACAUACGGUCUCAUUUAUUGUUCUUGUAAUUAUUCUAUUUUUCUUUUUUUCUUUUUCAUUUUCUUGUAAUAUUCUUUUUUCUUUUUCUUUUUCAUUUUCUACUUAUAUAAUAAGUAUUUUAGCAUAUUUUUUAAGCUAUAUAACUUAUGUUAAUCGUUUAAAUUAUCAGAAUAUAGAAGAUGACAUUUUAUGUUCUUUAGGAUAUAAGUAUAUAUUUAAUUAAUUUUGAGUUUUCAAUACAUAUCUUUCUAAACUAAUUAAUGUAAGGUUUGUUACUCUUAUAACAUGUUUGAUUGAUUUAUAUAAUUGAGGAUUUAUUAAUAUAUAAUUUUUAGCUUACAAUAUUUAAUAGAAAUCUCUGGUUCAAUAAUACUUUAUGAAUUGUAUAAAAAACAUACAAGGGAAAAAAACAUACGUACUGCUGAAAAAAUUGAAUCAUAUUUUCCUUUUUUUCUAUCUUUUAUGAGUAAUUUCUUUUCUUAUCUAUCAAAUGUACGGAACAAUUGAUUUCUGAUAAUAGGUUAAUCUUUUGAAGGUAUACACUCUCUAACUUGUUUUAUUUUGUCACUCUAUUCAUCUGUGUUUCCUCUUAUUUCAAUUUUAUUCUUGCAUCACCAAUGAUUAUGAUAGGUUUUUCGUAUUGUUUUGAUGAGAUUGAGAUGUUGUUAGGAUAUAUGAGGAUCUCACAAUAAAUAACGUUGGUGCUAAUGUACACUAGAAAAGAAUUGGUGUGGUUUCCUUUAAUACAUACGGUCUCAUUUUACUGUAUCUCUCUACUUAUUAUUUAAGUAUAAUUUUAAUUAUAUUUUAUUUCAUAAUUUUUUCAUGUUCUUUCUAUUAAUUAAUUUCAAGUUUGUUAUUAUUACAUAAAAUAACAACAUUAUUAAUGUUUGAUUUCGAAGUAUAAUAUUUUAUCUGAGGAUUAUACAGUUAAUGAUAAUAAUGGAGGUCUCUUGUAAGAUUUAUAUAUUAUGUAUAUAUAGAAACCAGAGGUAUAUAUCACUUUAUGGAUUGUAUAGAGACGAAAAAUACAAAGGGUAAAAAAACGUACUGCUGAAAAAUUGUCAUAUUUUCCUUUUUUUUUCUAUCUUUAUGAUGUAAUCUUUUUCUUAUCUAUCAAAUGUACAGGAAACAAUUGAUUUCUGAUAUAGGUUAAUCUUUUGACAGGUUACACAUCUCUAACUUUUUAUUUGUCACUUCUAUUCAUUCUUGUUUAUUCGCUCUUGAUAUUUCUAAUUUUAUUUUCUUGCAUCACCAAUGAUUAUGAUAGGGUUUUCGUAUUGUUUUUGAUGAGAUUAACGGAGAUUUGUUAGGCAUCAUGAAGGAUCUCACAAUAAUAAAGUUGGUGCUAAUGUAAACUCGAGAAAAAUGAUUGGGUUAUGGUUUCCUUUAAUACUACGGUCUCAUUUUCAUUGUCUUGUAAAUUUAUUCUAUUUUCUUUUUCUUUUCAUUUUCUUGUAAUAAUUCUUUUUUCUUUUUUCUUUUUCAUUUUCUACUUAUAAUUUAGUAUUAUUUUACGCAUAGUUUUUUAAGCCUAUAUAACUUAUGUUAAUUCGUUUAAUUAUCAGAACAGUAGAUAGACAUUUUUAUGUGCCUUUUAGGAUAUAAGUAUAUAUUUAAUUAAUUUUGAUAGUUCAUACAUAUCUUCUAAACUAAUUAAUUGUAAGCGUUUGUUACUCAAUAAAUGUUUGAUUAUCGUUAUAAAUACUUAAUUAAUAUUAGUAACUUAUUCUCUAUUUGCUUAAUAUUUAAAUAGAAUCUCUGGUUCAUAAUCACUUUAUGAUUGUAAAUAAACAAAAUACAAAGGGUACAAAAAAUACGUCAUGCUCAAAAAUUGUCAAUAUUUUCCUUUUUUUCUAUCUUUUAUGAGUAAUUUUCUUCUUAUCUUCAAAUGUACGGAACCAAUUGAUUUCUGAUAUAGGUUAACAUAACUUUUGAAUGGUUACCAUCUCUAACUGGUUUAUUUGUCAUUAUUCUAUCAUUGUGUUUCUUUCUUAUUUUCAAUUUUAUAUCUUGUCACGCUCACCAGAUUGAUAUCAUGAUAGGGUAUCUUCGUACUUGUUUUGAUGAAUUGAGAUUGUUUCUUAGAUUAUGACGUGAUCUCAGCAUACUAUAAGAGUUGGUGUCUUAAGUAAUCUAACGAGAAUAAUGCACUUGGUUGGUUCCUUUAAUACAUAAGAAGAUAAGAUAUUUUGAUGUUCUUUAAGGAUUAUAAGUUUAUAAAUAGUUAUUAAUUAAUUUUUGAUGCUUCAAUAAUAUCUUUCUACAAUUAAUCUCAAUUUCAAGCCGUUCGUGCCUAUCACUAAUGUUUGAUGAUUAUCAAUAAUUGAGGAUUUACUUAAUAUAAUAUUUACAUUACAUUUUCUACAUAGAAACCCGGCGUCUUAUAAUUACUGUUUAUUGAUGGUGUUUUAUAAAACAAUUAUACAAAGGGUUUACAAAAUUUAACUCAGUACUGCUGAAAAAUUGGUCAAUAUUUUUCGACCUGGUUUUCUUUUCUUUUCUUAUUCUGGUUUCAUGAGGAUUUUCUAUCUGUUUUAUCAAAUGUAACAGAAAAUGGAUUUUGUUAUUUACCUUGUUAGUGCUUUGUUUUCAGAGCCCUCCAACGGUCACUUCUAGUGUGGUUCCCUUCUUUUUUGUGUGUGUUACCACUACAUCCUGAUCUUCGUCAAAGAUACGUAUCAUAUGCACUCCCUACACAUUUUGGUUUCCUUUCCUUCACGUAACUGACUCUGAUGUCUAUUGGCUGGUAGACUAGUAGCCGGAUGGCGAUAUCCUGCCAUCAGUCUGGUUUGUUUUUCCUGGUGUCUCUUUCACCAGUUUGUUAGUGUUUAGCAUGUUUUUAGCAACAUGCCUUCUAUUGUGCGUUGGAUCCCUGAGUACGACGGAUCUAGGGGUGUUACCUUCUUGCAUAACACUCCGAUCCAAUUCUCUUUGGUCCGCAGACAUCUUUCCAGGUUUACGAGGCGUUCCUUUCCCUCUUGUGGAUCAUACACUGGGCGGCUUGUUUGUUCUUUCUUUCCCGUGUUUCGCGUAAUGCACACUGGCACUCUGUGGGAAUUGGAGAAGUUAGCGAUCUCUGCUGGUCCCAUCUUCCCUAAGUGAUUCGCUAGCGUUCUCUACGUGUAGCCUGGGGCUUUGGUUGCUAUGCUGUUAUUUAUGCAUUCAUUUCGAUUUACUGUUUCAUUUAAUGUGUGCAUAAUGUGGCAUUCAUUCAUAUUUCAUGCUGUUUGUCUGGUUUCUCUGGUGUGGUGGGGGUGUACGGAGUAUCGAGGUAAAGGCGCAAACCAGGCUAUGAGUGAUUCUAUGAAACCUAGGAAUAGCGUGAUUCUGGGAUGCGGGUUGCUAUGCGCCACUUAGCGGAACAUCGAUAUCACGCAGGCAGUUCGACCUGGUUUCAUCGUAGCAUCUUCGGGUGUGUAUUUUCAGAGAUGGUAUUCUGGCGAAGGUUAUUAUGUUGCGUUUUCGAGCUUACCUCUACUCUGACGGACACUCCGUCUGAGCGAGGAUGGAGAUUGAAAUUAUGAGGUACUGUUGGGCUGAUGUUGUUGGUGACUUGGGUGAUUCUUAGGUACGAUGGACUGUGAAUUAUGGACAUUAUUUCUGGGAGCGGAGUUCUGUCCAUGGGUUUUAAUAGGGUUACGUUUAUUUCGGAUCGCCCGGUGAAUGUGAGAGUACUGUUCAGGAGGAUUGGCUGUCAUCCGUUCAGUGGAUGUUUCUAUGAUGAUGAUGAUGUAAUUCCGGUUCCGUUUUUUCGGCACUCCCCAAGUCGAUUUAUGGUGACUCAGUGACUGUCUGGUUAGAGACUGUCUCAGAUGAUUUGUGGCACAGUGACUGGCAUUCAUGCAUUCAUCAUCCCAUUUCGGCAUUCAUUGCUGCAUUCACCCAAUGAUAUCCUACUCAGGUCCUUGGAUUAAGAUUCUGGUUGAGAACACUCAGAGUGUAGAAUUGUUAUUGAAUUAUCUGUUCGAUGACGAAGAUCAAAGACAGAUAUCCUGGUACGGGUAGACAUUGCAUGUGUGAGUCAUAUAACCAUUUGCUGUUUUGUAGGGUGUUCAACCGGUGCGAUAGCUCGUUUGCUCAUGAUAUCGCUGUAUGAAGGCAAACAAAUCAAAACUGAUGGAUCUUCCCAAUCAGACAUCGCUGAACUGAAAGAAUGGUAGNUUUGAUGUUCAAUACAUAUCUUUCUAAACUAAUUAAUGAUAAGGUUUGUUACUCAAUAAAUGUUUGAUUGAUUUAUAUAAUUGAUGAUUUACUUAAUAUAAUUAUUUUGCUUACAAUAUUUAAUAGAAAUCUCUGGUUCAUAAUCACUUUAUUAUUGUAUAAACAAAAUACAAAGGGUAAAAAAAUACGUACUGCUGAAAAAUUGUCAUAUUUUCCUUUUUUUUCUAUCUUUUAUGAGUAAUUUUCUUUCUUAUCUAUCAAAUGUACGGAACAAUUGAUUUUUGAUAUAGGUUAAUCUUUUGAAGGUUACACAUCUCUAACUUGUUUAUUUUGUCACUCUAUUCAUCUGUGUUUCCUCUUAUUUUCCAUUUUAUUCUUGCAUCACCAACGAUUAUGAUAGGGUUUUUCGUAUUGUUUUGAUGAGAUUGAGAUGUUUGUUAGGAUUAUGAGGAUCACACAAUAAUAAAGUUGGUGCUAAUGUAACACUAGAAAAAUGAUUGGGUUGGUUUCGUUAAUACAUACGGUCUCAUUUGCAUUGUCUUGUUAUUAUUCUUUUUUCUUUUUUUCUUUUUCAUUUUCUGGUAAUUAUUCUUUUUUCCUUUUUUCUUUUUCAUUUUCUACUUAUAUUUAGUAUUUUAGCAUAUAUUUUAAGCUAUAUAACUUAUGUUAAUCGUUUAAUUAUCAGAAUAUAGAAGAUGACAUUUUAUGUUCUUUAGGAUAUAAGUAUAUAUUUAAUUAAUUUUGAUGUUCAAUACAUAUCUUUCUAAACUAAUUAAUGUCAAGGUUUGUUACUCAAUAAAUGUUUGAUUGAUUUAUAUAAUUGAGGAUUUACUUAAUAUAAUUAUUUCGCUUACAAUAUUUAAUAGAAAUCUCUGGUUCAUAAUCACUUUAUGAUUGUAUAAACAAAAUACAAAGGGUAAAAAAAUACGUACUGCUGAAAAAUUGUCAUAUUUUCCUUUUUUUUCUAUCUUUUAUGAGUAAUUUUCUUUCUUAUCUAUCAAAUGUACGGAACAAUUGAUUUCUGAUAUAGGUUAAUCUUUUGAAGGUUACACAUCUCUAACUUGUUUAUUUUGUCACUCUAUUCAUCUGUGUUUCCUCUUAUUUUCAAUUUUAUUCUUGCAUCACCAAUGAUUAUGAUAGGGUUUUUCGUAUUGUUUUGAUGAGAUUGAGGUGUUUGUUAGGAUUAUGAGGAUCUCACAAUAAUAAAGUUGGUGCAAAUGUAACACUAGAUAAUUGAUUGGGUUGCUUUCAUUUAAUACAUACGGUCUCAUUUUCAUUGUCUUGUAAUUAUUCUUUUUCCUUUUUUUCUUUUUCAUUUUCUUGUAAUUAUUCUUUUUUCUUUUUUUCUUUUUCAUUUUCUACUUAUAAUUAGUAUUUUAGCAUAUUUUUUAAUCUAUAUAACUUAUGUUAAUCGUUUAAUUAUCAUAAUAUAGAACAUGACAUUUUAUGUUCUUUAGGAUAUAAGUAUAUAUUUAAUUAAUUUUGAUGUUCAAUACAUAUCUUUCAAAAUUAAUUAAUGUCAUGGUUUGUUACUCAUUAAAUGUUUGAAUGAUUUAUAUAAUUGAGGAUUUACUUAAUAUAAAUAUUUAGCUUGCAAUAUUUAAUAGAAAUCUCUGGUACAUAACCACUUUAUGAUUGUAUAAACAAAAUACAAAGGGUAAAAAAAUACGUACUGCUGAAAAAUUGUCAUAUUUUCCUUUUUUUUCUAUCUUUUAUGAGUAAUUUUCUUUCUUAUCUAUCAAAUGUACGGAACAAUUGAUUUCUGAUAUAGGUUAAUCUUUUGAAGGUUACACAUCUCUAACUUGUUUAUUUUGUCACUCUAUUCAUCUGUGUUUCCUCUUAUUUUCAAUUUUAUUCUUGCAUCACCAAUGAUUAUGAUAGGGUUUUUCGUAUUGUUUUGAUGAGAUUGAGAUGUUUGUUAGGAUUAUGAGGAUCUCACAAUAAUAAAGUUGGUGCUAAUGUAACACUAGAAAAAUGAUUGGGUUGGUUUCCUUUAAUACAUACGGUCUCAUUUUCAUUGUCUUGUAAUUAUUCUAUUUUCUUUUUUUCUUUUUCAUUUUCUUGUAAUUAUUCUUUUUUCUUUUUUUCUUUUUCAUUUUCUACUUAUAAUUAGUAUUUUAGCAUAUUUUUUAAUCUAUAUAACUUAUGUUAAUCGUUUAAUUAUCAGAAUAUAGAAGAUGACAUUUUAUGUUCUUUAGGAUAUAAGUAUAUAUUUAAUUAAUUUUGAUGUUCAAUACAUAUCUUUCUAAACUAAUUAAUGUCAAGGUUUGUUACUCAUUACAUGUUUGAUUGAUUUAUAUAAUUGAGGAUGUACUUAAUAUAAAUAUUUACUUUACAAUACUUAAUAGAAAACUCUGGUUCAUAAUCACUUUAUGAUUGUAUAAACAAAAUAAAAAGGGUAAAAAAAUACGUACUGCUGAAAAAUUGUCAUAUUUUCCUUUUUUUUCUAUCUUUUAUGAGUAAUUUUCUUUCUUAUCUAUCAAAUGUACAGAUCAAGUGAUUUCUGAUAUAGGUUGAUCUUUUGAAGGUUACACAUCUCUAACUUGUUUAUUUUGUCACUCUAUUCAUCUGUGUUUCCUCUUAUUUUCAAUUUUAUUCUUGCAUCACCAAUGAUUAUGAUAGGGUUUUUCGUAUUGUUUUGAUGAGAUUGAGAUGUUUGUUAGGAUUAUGAGGAUCUCACAAUAAUAAAGUUGGUGCUAAUGUAACACUAGAAAAAUGAUUGGGUUGGUUUCCUUUAAUACAUACGGUCUCAUUUUCAUUGUCUUGUAAUUAUUCUAUUUUCUUUUUUUCUUUUUCAUUUUCUUGUAAUUAUUCUUUUUUCUUUUUUUCUUUUUCAUUUUCUACUUAUAAUUAGUAUUUUAGCAUAUUUUUUAAUCUAUAUAACUUAUGUUAAUUGUUUAAUUAUCAGAAUAUAGAAGAUGACAUUUUAUGUUCUUUAGGAUAUAAGUAUAUAUUUAAUUAAUUUUGAUGUUCAAUACAUAUCUUUCUAAACUAAUUAAUGUCAAGGUUUGUUACUCAUUACAUGUUUGAUUGAUUUAUAUAAUUGAGGAUGUACUUAAUAUAAAUAUUUAGCUUACAUUAUUUAAUAGAAAUCUCUGGUUCAUAAUCACUUUAUGAUUGUAUAAACAAAAUACAAAGGGUAAAAAAAUACGUACUGCUGAAAAAUUGUCAUAUUUUCCUUUUUUUUCUAUCUUUUAUGAGUAAUUUUCUUUCUUAUCUAUCAAAUGUACAGAUCAAGUGAUUUCUGAUAUAGGUUGAUCUUUUGAAGGUUACACAUCUCUAACUUGUUUAUUUUGUCACUCUAUUCAUCUGUGUUUCCUCUUAUUUUCAAUUUUAUUCUUGCAUCACCAAUGAUUAUGAUAGGGUUUUUCGUAUUGUUUUGAUGAGAUUGAGAUGUUUGUUAGGAUUAUGAGGAUCUCACAAUAAUAAAGUUGGUGCUAAUGUAACACUAGAAAAAUGAUUGGGUUGGUUUCCUUUAAUACAUACGGUCUCAUUUUCAUUGUCUUGUAAUUAUUCUAUUUUCUUUUUUUCUUUUUCAUUUUCUUGUAAUUAUUCUUUUUUCUUUUUUUCUUUUUCAUUUUCUACUUAUAAUUAGUAUUUUAGCAUAUUUUUUAAUCUAUAUAACUUAUGUUAAUUGUUUAAUUAUCAGAAUAUAGAAGAUGACAUUUUAUGUUCUUUAGGAUAUAAGUAUAUAUUUAAUUAAUUUUGAUGUUCAAUACAUAUCUUUCUAAACUAAUUAAUGUCAAGGUUUGUUACUCAUUACAUGUUUGAUUGAUUUAUAUAAUUGAGGAUGUACUUAAUAUAAAUAUUUAGCUUACAUUAUUUAAUAGAAAUCUCUGGUUCAUAAUCACUUUAUGAUUGUAUAAACAAAAUACAAAGGGUAAAAAAAUACGUACUGCUGAAAAAUUGUCAUAUUUUCCUUUUUUUUCUAUCUUUUAUGAGUAAUUUUCUUUCUUAUCUAUCAAAUGUACAGAUCAAGUGAUUUCUGAUAUAGGUUGAUCUUUUGAAGGUUACACAUCUCUAACUUGUUUAUUUUGUCACUCUAUUCAUCUGUGUUUCCUCUUAUUUUCAAUUUUAUUCUUGCAUCACCAAUGAUUAUGAUAGGGUUUUUCGUAUUGUUUUGAUGAGAUUGAGAUGUUUGUUAGGAUUAUGAGGAUCUCACAAUAAUAAAGUUGGUGCUAAUGUAACACUAGAAAAAUGAUUGGGUUGGUUUCCUUUAAUACAUACGGUCUCAUUUUCAUUGUCUUGUAAUUAUUCUAUUUUCUUUUUUUCUUUUUCAUUUUCUUGUAAUUAUUCUUUUUUCUUUUUUUCUUUUUCAUUUUCUACUUAUAAUUAGUAUUUUAGCAUAUUUUUUAAUCUAUAUAACUUAUGUUAAUUGUUUAAUUAUCAGAAUAUAGAAGAUGACAUUUUAUGUUCUUUAGGAUAUAAGUAUAUAUUUAAUUAAUUUUGAUGUUCAAUACAUAUCUUUCUAAACUAAUUAAUGUCAAGGUUUGUUACUCAUUACAUGUUUGAUUGAUUUAUAUAAUUGAGGAUGUACUUAAUAUAAAUAUUUAGCUUACAUUAUUUAAUAGAAAUCUCUGGUUCAUAAUCACUUUAUGAUUGUAUAAACAAAAUACAAAGGGUAAAAAAAUACGUACUGCUGAAAAAUUGUCAUAUUUUCCUUUUUUUUCUAUCUUUUAUGAGUAAUUUUCUUUCUUAUCUAUCAAAUGUACAGAUCAAGUGAUUUCUGAUAUAGGUUGAUCUUUUGAAGGUUACACAUCUCUAACUUGUUUAUUUUGUCACUCUAUUCAUCUGUGUUUCCUCUUAUUUUCAAUUUUAUUCUUGCAUCACCAAUGAUUAUGAUAGGGUUUUUCGUAUUGUUUUGAUGAGAUUGAGAUGUUUGUUAGGAUUAUGAGGAUCUCACAAUAAUAAAGUUGGUGCUAAUGUAACACUAGAAAAAUGAUUGGGUUGGUUUCCUUUAAUACAUACGGUCUCAUUUUCAUUGUCUUGUAAUUAUUCUAUUUUCUUUUUUUCUUUUUCAUUUUCUUGUAAUUAUUCUUUUUUCUUUUUUUCUUUUUCAUUUUCUACUUAUAAUUAGUAUUUUAGCAUAUUUUUUAAUCUAUAUAACUUAUGUUAAUUGUUUAAUUAUCAGAAUAUAGAAGAUGACAUUUUAUGUUCUUUAGGAUAUAAGUAUAUAUUUAAUUAAUUUUGAUGUUCAAUACAUAUCUUUCUAAAUUAAUAAAUGUCAUGGUUUGUUACUCAUUAAAUGUUUGAAUGAUUUAUAUAAUUGAGGAUUUACUUAAUAUAAAUAUUUAGCUUGCAAUAUUUAAUAGAAAUCUCUGGUACAUAACCACUUUAUGAUUGUAUAAACAAAAUAAGAAGGGUAAAAAAAUACGUACUGCUGAAAAAUUGUCAUAUUUUCCUUUUUUUUCUAUCUUUUAUGAGUAAUUUUCUAUCUUAUCUUUCAAAUGUACAGAAUAAUUGAUUUCUGAUAUAGGUUAAUCUUUUGAAGGUUACACAUCUCUAACUUGCUUAUUUUGUCACUCUAUUCAUCUGUGUUUCCUCUUAUUGUCAAUUUUAUUCUUGCAUCACCAAUGAUUAUGAUAGUGUUUUUCGUAUUGUUUUGAUGAGAUUGAGAUGUUUGUUAGGAUUAUGAGGAUCUCACAAUAAUAAAGUUGGUGCUAAUGUAACACUAGAAAAAUGAUUGGGUUGGUUUCCUUUAAUACAUACGGUCUCAUUUUCAUUGUCUUGUAAUUAUUCUAUUUUCUUUUUUUCUUUUUCAUUUUCUUGUAAUUAUUCUUUUUUCUUUUUUUCUUUUUCAUUUUCUACUUAUAAUUAGUAUUUUAGCAUAUUUUUUAAGCUAUAUAACUUAUGUUAAUCGUUUAAUUAUCAGAAUAUAGAAGAUGACAUUUUAUGUUCUUUAGGAUAUAAGUAUAUAUUUAAUUAAUUUUGAUGUUCAAUACAUAUCUUUCUAAACUAGUUAAUGUCAAGGUUUGUUACUCAAUAAAUGUUUGAUUGAUUUAUAUAAUUGAGGAUUUACUUAAUAUAAUUAUUUAGCUUACAAUAUUUAAUAGAAAUCUCUGGUUCAUAAUCACUUUAUGAUUGUAUAAACAAAAUACAAAGGGUAAAAAAAUACGUACUGCUGAAAAAUUGUCAUAUUUUCCUUUUUUUUCUAUCUUUUAUGAGUAAUUUUCUUUCUUAUCUAUCAAAUGUACGGAACAAUUGAUUUCUGAUAUAGGUUAAUCUUUUGAAGGUUACACAUCUCUAACUUGUUUAUUUUGUCACUCUAUUCAUCUGUGUUUCCUCUUAUUUUCAAUUUUAUUCUUGCAUCACCAAUGAUUAUGAUAGGGUUUUUCGUAUUGUUUUGAUGAGAUUGAGAUGUUUGUUAGGAUUAUGAGGAUCUCACAAUAAUAAAGUUGGUGCUAAUGUAACACUAGAAAAAUGAUUGGGUUGGUUUCCUUUAAUACAUACGGUCUCAUUUUCAUUGUCUUGUAAUUAUUCUAUUUUCUUUUUUUCUUUUUCAUUUUCUUGUAAUUAUUCUUUUUUCUUUUUUUCUUUUUCAUUUUCUACUUAUAAUUAGUAUUUUAGCAUAUUUUUUAAUCUAUAUAACUUAUGUUAAUCGUUUAAUUAUCAGAAUAUAGAAGAUGACAUUUUAUGUUCUUUAGGAUAUAAGUAUAUAUUUAAUUAAUUUUGAUGUUCAAUACAUAUCUUUCUAAACUAGUUAAUGUCAAGGUUUGUUACUCAAUAAAUGUUUGAUUGAUUUAUAUAAUUGAGGAUUUACUUAAUAUAAUUAUUUAGCUUACAAUAUUUAAUAGAAAUCUCUGGUUCAUAAUCACUUUAUGAUUGUAUAAACAAAAUACAAAGGGUAAAAAAAUACGUACUGCUGAAAAAUUGUCAUAUUUUCCUUUUUUUUCUAUCUUUUAUGAGUAAUUUUCUUUCUUAUCUAUCAAAUGUACGGAACAAUUGAUUUCUGAUAUAGGUUAAUCUUUUGAAGGUUACACAUCUCUAACUUGUUUAUUUUGUCACUCUAUUCAUCUGUGUUUCCUCUUAUUUUCAAUUUUAUUCUUGCAUCACCAAUGAUUAUGAUAGGGUUUUUCGUAUUGUUUUGAUGAGAUUGAGAUGUUUGUUAGGAUUAUGAGGAUCUCACAAUAAUAAAGUUGGUGCUAAUGUAACACUAGAAAAAUGAUUGGGUUGGUUUCCUUUAAUACAUACGGUCUCAUUUUCAUUGUCUUGUAAUUAUUCUAUUUUCUUUUUUUCUUUUUCAUUUUCUUGUAAUUAUUCUUUUUUCUUUUUUUCUUUUUCAUUUUCUACUUAUAAUUAGUAUUUUAGCAUAUUUUUUAAGCUAUAUAACUUAUGUUAAUCGUUUAAUUAUCAGAAUAUAGAAGAUGACAUUUUAUGUUCUUUAGGAUAUAAGUAUAUAUUUAAUUAAUUUUGAUGUUCAAUACAUAUCUUUCUAAACUAGUUAAUGUCAAGGUUUGUUACUCAAUAAAUGUUUGAUUGAUUUAUAUAAUUGAGGAUUUACUUAAUAUAAUUAUUUAGCUUACAAUAUUUAAUAGAAAUCUCUGGUUCAUAAUCACUUUAUGAUUGUAUAAACAAAAUACAAAGGGUAAAAAAAUACGUACUGCUGAAAAAUUGUCAUAUUUUCCUUUUUUUUCUAUCUUUUAUGAGUAAUUUUCUUUCUUAUCUAUCAAAUGUACGGAACAAUUGAUUUCUGAUAUAGGUUAAUCUUUUGAAGGUUACACAUCUCUAACUUGUUUAUUUUGUCACUCUAUUCAUCUGUGUUUCCUCUUAUUUUCAAUUUUAUUCUUGCAUCACCAAUGAUUAUGAUAGGGUUUUUCGUAUUGUUUUGAUGAGAUUGAGAUGUUUGUUAGGAUUAUGAGGAUCUCACAAUAAUAAAGUUGGUGCUAAUGUAACACUAGAAAAAUGAUUGGGUUGGUUUCCUUUAAUACAUACGGUCUCAUUUUCAUUGUCUUGUAAUUAUUCUAUUUUCUUUUUUUCUUUUUCAUUUUCUUGUAAUUAUUCUUUUUUCUUUUUUUCUUUUUCAUUUUCUACUUAUAAUUAGUAUUUUAGCAUAUUUUUUAAUCUAUAUAACUUAUGUUAAUCGUUUAAUUAUCAGAAUAUAGAAGAUGACAUUUUAUGUUCUUUAGGAUAUAAGUAUAUAUUUAAUUAAUUUUGAUGUUCAAUACAUAUCUUUCUAAACUAGUUAAUGUCAAGGUUUGUUACUCAAUAAAUGUUUGAUUGAUUUAUAUAAUUGAGGAUUUACUUAAUAUAAUUAUUUAGCUUACAAUAUUUAAUAGAAAUCUCUGGUUCAUAAUCACUUUAUGAUUGUAUAAACAAAAUACAAAGGGUAAAAAAAUACGUACUGCUGAAAAAUUGUCAUAUUUUCCUUUUUUUUCUAUCUUUUAUGAGUAAUUUUCUUUCUUAUCUAUCAAAUGUACGGAACAAUUGAUUUCUGAUAUAGGUUAAUCUUUUGAAGGUUACACAUCUCUAACUUGUUUAUUUUGUCACUCUAUUCAUCUGUGUUUCCUCUUAUUUUCAAUUUUAUUCUUGCAUCACCAAUGAUUAUGAUAGGGUUUUUCGUAUUGUUUUGAUGAGAUUGAGAUGUUUGUUAGGAUUAUGAGGAUCUCACAAUAAUAAAGUUGGUGCUAAUGUAACACUAGAAAAAUGAUUGGGUUGGUUUCCUUUAAUACAUACGGUCUCAUUUUCAUUGUCUUGUAAUUAUUCUAUUUUCUUUUUUUCUUUUUCAUUUUCUUGUAAUUAUUCUUUUUUCUUUUUUUCUUUUUCAUUUUCUACUUAUAAUUAGUAUUUUAGCAUAUUUUUUAAUCUAUAUAACUUAUGUUAAUCGUUUAAUUAUCAGAAUAUAGAAGAUGACAUUUUAUGUUCUUUAGGAUAUAAGUAUAUAUUUAAUUAAUUUUGAUGUUCAAUACAUAUCUUUCUAAACUAGUUAAUGUCAAGGUUUGUUACUCAAUAAAUGUUUGAUUGAUUUAUAUAAUUGAGGAUUUACUUAAUAUAAUUAUUUAGCUUACAAUAUUUAAUAGAAAUCUCUGGUUCAUAAUCACUUUAUGAUUGUAUAAACAAAAUACAAAGGGUAAAAAAAUACGUACUGCUGAAAAAUUGUCAUAUUUUCCUUUUUUUUCUAUCUUUUAUGAGUAAUUUUCUUUCUUAUCUAUCAAAUGUACGGAACAAUUGAUUUCUGAUAUAGGUUAAUCUUUUGAAGGUUACACAUCUCUAACUUGUUUAUUUUGUCACUCUAUUCAUCUGUGUUUCCUCUUAUUUUCAAUUUUAUUCUUGCAUCACCAAUGAUUAUGAUAGGGUUUUUCGUAUUGUUUUGAUGAGAUUGAGAUUUUUGUUAGGAUUAUGAGGAUCUCACAAUAAUAAACGUGGUGCUAGUGUAACACUGGAAAACUUAUUUAGUUGGUUUCCUUUAUACCAUACGGUCUCAUUUAAAUUUGUUGUUAUUAUUCUAUUUCAUUUUUUUUAUUUUUUAUUUUCUUGUAAUUAUUCUAUUUUGUUUUUUUCUUUUUCAUUUUCUACAUAUAAUUAGUAUUUUAGCAAAUUUUUUAAUCUGUAUAACUUAUAUUAAUUGUUUAAUAUCACAAUAUAGAAGAUGACAUUUUAUGUUCUUAAGGAUAUAAGUAUAUAUUUAAUUAAUUUUGAUGUUCAAUACAUAUCUUUCUAAACUAAUUAAUGUCAAGGUUUGUUACUCACUAAAUGUUUGAAUGAUUUAUAUAAUUGAGGAUUUACUUAAUAUAAAUAUUUAGCCUACAAUAUUUAAUAAAAACCUCUGGUUCAUAAUCACUUUAUGAUUGUAUAAACAAAGUACAAAGGGUAAAAAAAUACGUACUGCUGAAAAAUUGUCAUUUUUUCCUUUUUUUUCUAUCUUUUAAGUGUAAUUUUCUUUCUUAUCUAUCAAAUGUACGGAACAAUUGAUUUCUGAUAUAGGUUAAUCUUUUGAAGGUUACACAUCUCUAACUUGUUUAUUUUGUCACUCUAUUCAUCUGUGUUUCCUCUUAUUUUCAAUUUUAUUCUUGCAUCACCAAUGAUUAUGAUAGGGUUUUUCGUAUUGUUUUGAUGAGAUUGAGGUGUUUGUUAGGAUUAUGAGGAUCUCACAAUAAUAAAGUUGGUGCUAAUGUAACACUAGAAAAAUGAUUGGGUUGGUUUCCUUUAAUACAUACGGUCUCAUUUUCAUUGUCUUGUAAUUAUUCUAUUUUCUUUUUUUCUUUUUCAUUUUCUUGUAAUUAUUCUUUUUUCUUUUUUUCUUUUUCAUUUUCUACUUAUAAUUAGUAUUUUAGCAUAUUUUUUAAGCUAUAUAACUUAUGUUAAUCGUUUAAUUAUCAGAAUAUAGAAGAUGACAUUUUAUGUUCUUUAGGAUAUAAGUAUAUAUUUAAUUAAUUUUGAUGUUCAAUACAUAUCUUUCUAAACUAGUUAAUGUCAAGGUUUGUUACUCAAUAAAUGUUUGAUUGAUUUAUAUAAUUGAGGAUUUACUUAAUAUAAUUAUUUAGCUUACAAUAUUUAAUAGAAAUCUCUGGUUCAUAAUCACUUUAUGAUUGUAUAAACAAAAUACAAAGGGUAAAAAAAUACGUACUGCUGAAAAAUUGUCAUAUUUUCCUUUUUUUUCUAUCUUUUAUGAGUAAUUUUCUUUCUUAUCUAUCAAAUGUACGGAACAAUUGAUUUCUGAUAUAGGUUAAUCUUUUGAAGGUUACACAUCUCUAACUUGUUUAUUUUGUCACUCUAUUCAUCUGUGUUUCCUCUUAUUUUCAAUUUUAUUCUUGCAUCACCAAUGAUUAUGAUAGGGUUUUUCGUAUUGUUUUGAUGAGAUUGAGAUGUUUGUUAGGAUUAUGAGGAUCUCACAAUAAUAAAGUUGGUGCUAAUGUAACACUAGAAAAAUGAUUGGGUUGGUUUCCUUUAAUACAUACGGUCUCAUUUUCAUUGUCUUGUAAUUAUUCUAUUUUCUUUUUUUCUUUUUCAUUUUCUUGUAAUUAUUCUUUUUUCUUUUUUUCUUUUUCAUUUUCUACUUAUAAUUAGUAUUUUAGCAUAUUUUUUAAGCUAUAUAACUUAUGUUAAUCGUUUAAUUAUCAGAAUAUAGAAGAUGACAUUUUAUGUUCUUUAGGAUAUAAGUAUAUAUUUAAUUAAUUUUGAUGUUCAAUACAUAUCUUUCUAAACUAGUUAAUGUCAAGGUUUGUUACUCAAUAAAUGUUUGAUUGAUUUAUAUAAUUGAGGAUUUACUUAAUAUAAUUAUUUAGCUUACAAUAUUUAAUAGAAAUCUCUGGUUCAUAAUCACUUUAUGAUUGUAUAAACAAAAUACAAAGGGUAAAAAAAUACGUACUGCUGAAAAAUUGUCAUAUUUUCCUUUUUUUUCUAUCUUUUAUGAGUAAUUUUCUUUCUUAUCUAUCAAAUGUACGGAACAAUUGAUUUCUGAUAUAGGUUAAUCUUUUGAAGGUUACACAUCUCUAACUUGUUUAUUUUGUCACUCUAUUCAUCUGUGUUUCCUCUUAUUUUCAAUUUUAUUCUUGCAUCACCAAUGAUUAUGAUAGGGUUUUUCGUAUUGUUUUGAUGAGAUUGAGAUGUUUGUUAGGAUUAUGAGGAUCUCACAAUAAUAAAGUUGGUGCUAAUGUAACACUAGAAAAAUGAUUGGGUUGGUUUCCUUUAAUACAUACGGUCUCAUUUUCAUUGUCUUGUAAUUAUUCUAUUUUCUUUUUUUCUUUUUCAUUUUCUUGUAAUUAUUCUUUUUUCUUUUUUUCUUUUUCAUUUUCUACUUAUAAUUAGUAUUUUAGCAUAUUUUUUAAGCUAUAUAACUUAUGUUAAUCGUUUAAUUAUCAGAAUAUAGAAGAUGACAUUUUAUGUUCUUUAGGAUAUAAGUAUAUAUUUAAUUAAUUUUGAUGUUCAAUACAUAUCUUUCUAAACUAGUUAAUGUCAAGGUUUGUUACUCAAUAAAUGUUUGAUUGAUUUAUAUAAUUGAGGAUUUACUUAAUAUAAUUAUUUAGCUUACAAUAUUUAAUAGAAAUCUCUGGUUCAUAAUCACUUUAUGAUUGUAUAAACAAAAUACAAAGGGUAAAAAAAUACGUACUGCUGAAAAAUUGUCAUAUUUUCCUUUUUUUUCUAUCUUUUAUGAGUAAUUUUCUUUCUUAUCUAUCAAAUGUACGGAACAAUUGAUUUCUGAUAUAGGUUAAUCUUUUGAAGGUUACACAUCUCUAACUUGUUUAUUUUGUCACUCUAUUCAUCUGUGUUUCCUCUUAUUUUCAAUUUUAUUCUUGCAUCACCAAUGAUUAUGAUAGGGUUUUUCGUAUUGUUUUGAUGAGAUUGAGAUGUUUGUUAGGAUUAUGAGGAUCUCACAAUAAUAAAGUUGGUGCUAAUGUAACACUAGAAAAAUGAUUGGGUUGGUUUCCUUUAAUACAUACGGUCUCAUUUUCAUUGUCUUGUAAUUAUUCUAUUUUCUUUUUUUCUUUUUCAUUUUCUUGUAAUUAUUCUUUUUUCUUUUUUUCUUUUUCAUUUUCUACUUAUAAUUAGUAUUUUAGCAUAUUUUUUAAGCUAUAUAACUUAUGUUAAUCGUUUAAUUAUCAGAAUAUAGAAGAUGACAUUUUAUGUUCUUUAGGAUAUAAGUAUAUAUUUAAUUAAUUUUGAUGUUCAAUACAUAUCUUUCUAAACUAGUUAAUGUCAAGGUUUGUUACUCAAUAAAUGUUUGAUUGAUUUAUAUAAUUGAGGAUUUACUUAAUAUAAUUAUUUCGCUUACAAUAUUUAAUAGAAAUCUCUGGUUCAUAAUCACUUUAUGAUUGUAUAAACAAAAUACAAAGGGUAAAAAAAUACGUACUGCUGAAAAAUUGUCAUAUUUUCCUUUUUUUUCUAUCUUUUAUGAGUAAUUUUCUUUCUUAUCUAUCAAAUGUACGGAACAAUUGAUUUCUGAUAUAGGUUAAUCUUUUGAAGGUUACACAUCUCUAACUUGUUUAUUUUGUCACUCUAUUCAUCUGUGUUUCCUCUUAUUUUCAAUUUUAUUCUUGCAUCACCAAUGAUUAUGAUAGGGUUUUUCGUAUUGUUUUGAUGAGAUUGAGAUGUUUGUUAGGAUUAUGAGGAUCUCACAAUAAUAAAGUUGGUGCUAAUGUAACACUAGAAAAAUGAUUGGGUUGGUUUCCUUUAAUACAUACGGUCUCAUUUUCAUUGUCUUGUAAUUAUUCUAUUUUAUUUUUUUCUUUUUCAUUUUCUUAUAAUUAUUCUUUUUUCUUUUUUUUCUUUUUCAUUUUCUACUUAUAAUUAGUAUUUUAGCAUAUUUUUUAAUCAAAAUAACUUAUGUUAAUCGUUUAAUUAUCAAAAAAUAAAAGAUGACAUUUUAUGUUCUUUAGGAUAUAAGUAUAUAUUUAUUUAAUUUUGAUGUUCAAUACAUAUCUUUCUAAACUAACUAAUGUGAAGGUUUGUUACUCAAUAAAUGUUUGAUUUAUUUAUAUAUUUGAGGAUUUACUUAAUUUAAUUAUUUUGCAUACAAUAUUUAAUAGAAAUCUCUGAUUCAUAAUCACUUUAUGAUUAAAUAAACAAAAUACAAAGGGUAAAAAAAUACGUACUGCUGAAAAAUUGUCAUAUUUUCCUUUUUUUUCUAUCUUUUAUGAGUAAUUUUGUUUCUUAUCUAUCAAAUGUACGGAACAAUUGAUUUCUGAUAUAGGUUAAUCUUUUGAAGGUUACACAUCUCUAACUUGUUUAUUUUGUCACUCUAUUCAUCUGUGUUUCCUCUUAUUUUCAAUUUUAAGUACAGAACAAUUGAUUUCUGAUAUAGGUUAAUCUUUUGAAGGUUACACAUCUCUAACUUGUUUAUUUUGUCACUCUAUUCAUCUGUGUUUCCUCUUAUUUUCAAUUUUAUUCUUGCAUCACCAAUGAUUAUGAUAAGGUUUUUCAUAUUGUUUUGAUGAGAUUAAGAUGUUUGUAAGGAUUAUGAGGAUCUCACAAUAAUAAAGUUGGUGCUAAUGUAACACUAGAUAAAUGAUUGGGUUGGUUUCCUUUAAUACAUACGGUCUCAUUUUCAUUGUCUUGUAAUUAUUCUUAUUUCUUUUUUUCUUUUUCAUUUUCUUGUAAUUAUUCUUUUUUCUUUUUUUCUUUUUCUUUUUCUACUUAUAAUUAGUAUUUUUGCAUAUUUUUUAAUCUAUAUAACUUAUGUUAAUCGUUUAAUUAUCAGAAUAUAAAAGAUGACAUUUUAUGUUCUUUAGGAUAUAAGUAUAUAUUUAAUUAAUUUUGAUGUUCAAUACAUAUCUUUCUAAAUUAAUUAAUUUCAAGGUUUGUU
Molecule: long non-coding RNA, 41590 nt
Filed under: Lathyrus oleraceus (garden pea)
Lineage: Eukaryota; Viridiplantae; Streptophyta; Magnoliopsida; Fabales; Fabaceae
Description: Pisum sativum (pea) long non-coding RNA (PSAT_LNC039866)
Source: RNAcentral